Molecule: small RNA, 610 nt
Filed under: Wardomycopsis inopinata
Lineage: Eukaryota; Fungi; Ascomycota; Sordariomycetes; Microascales; Microascaceae
Description: eukaryotic LSU rRNA
Rfam family: Eukaryotic large subunit ribosomal RNA
Source: RNAcentral
GCGGAGGAAAAGAAACCAACAGGGAUUGCCCCAGUAACGGCGAGUGAAGCGGCAACAGCUCAAAUUUGAAAUCUGGUCCCCCUGCGGGGCCCGAGUUGUAAUUUGAAGAGGAUGCUUUUGGCGAGGCGCCUUCCGAGUGCCCUGGAACGGGACGCCAUAGAGGGUGAGAGCCCCGUAUGGUUGGACGCCGAGCCUCUGUAAAGCUCCUUCGACGAGUCGAGUAGUUUGGGAAUGCUGCUCAAAAUGGGAGGUAAACCCCUUCUAAAGCUAAAUACUGGCCAGAGACCGAUAGCGCACAAGUAGAGUGAUCGAAAGAUGAAAAGCACUUUGAAAAGAGAGUUAAACAGCACGUGAAAUUGUUGAAAGGGAAGCGCUUGCGACCAGACUCGCGCCCGCCGGAUCAGCCGUCGCUCGUCGGCGGCGCACUCCGGCGGGUUCGGGCCAGCAUCGGUUCGCCUCGGGGGGAGAAAGGCGGCGGGAAUGUGGCUCUGCGGAGUGUUAUAGCCCGCCGUGCAAUACCCUCGGGCGGACCGAGGACCGCGCGUAUGCAAGGAUGCUGGCGUAAUGGUCGUCAGCGACCCGUCUUGAAACACGGACCAAGGAGUCGUCC